GACGAACGCUGGCGGCGUGCUUAACACAUGCAAGUCGAACGGAAAGGCCUGCUUUCCCUUGUGGAUUGCGGGUCCUCGAGUGGCGAACGGGGGAGUAACACGUGAGUGAUCUGUCCCCAACUUGGGUAUAAGCCUGGGAAACUGGGUCUAAUUCCCGAUAGGACUGCAGGGUGGUGCCGGUGGUGGGACACGAUUUUCUAGUGUGUGGGGAUGAGCUCGCGGCGGAUCAGCGUGGUGGUGGGGUAAAGGCCCACCAAGGCGACGACCGGUAGCCGGUCUGAGAGGAUGAUCAGCCACACUGGAACUGAGACACGGUCCAGACUCCUACGGGAGGCAGCAGUGGGGAAUAUUGGACAAUGGGCGCAAGCCUGAUCCAGCCAUACCGCGUGGGUGAAGAAGGCCUUCGGGUUGUAAAGCCCUUUUGUUGGGAAAGAAAAGCAGCAGGUUAAGACCCCGCUGUUCUGACGGUACCCAAAGAAUAAGCACCGGCUAACUUCGUG
RNAcentral lists this ribosomal RNA (500 nucleotides) under uncultured bacterium. RNAcentral's name for it is "partial 16S ribosomal RNA". It matches the Rfam family "Bacterial small subunit ribosomal RNA", at positions 28 to 507 of the family's 1533-position model. The record is from RNAcentral.